This 492-nucleotide ribosomal RNA is filed under the name uncultured bacterium. Its description in RNAcentral is "partial 16S ribosomal RNA". It matches the Rfam family "Bacterial small subunit ribosomal RNA", at positions 29 to 507 of the family's 1533-position model. The record is from RNAcentral.
AGUGAACGCUGGCGGUAGGCCUAACACAUGCAAGUCGAACGGCAGCACAGUAAGAGCUUGCUCUUACGGGUGGCGAGUGGCGGACGGGUGAGGAAUACAUCGGAAUCUACUUUUUCGUGGGGGAUAACGUAGGGAAACUUACGCUAAUACCGCAUCCGACCUACGGGUGAAAGCAGUGGAUCUUCGGACCUUGCGCGAUUGAAUGAGCCGAUGUCGGAUUAGCUAGUUGGCGGGGUAAAGGCCCACCAAGGCGACGAUCCGUAGCUGGUCUGAGAGGAUGAUCAGCCACACUGGAACUGAGACACGGUCCAGACUCCUACGGGAGGCAGCAGUGGGGAAUAUUGGACAAUGGGCGCAAGCCUGAUCCAGCCAUACCGCGUGGGUGAAGAAGGCCUUCGGGUUGUAAAGCCCUUUUGUUGGGAAAGAAAAGCAGCAGGUUAAUACCCCGCUGUUCUGACGGUACCCAAAGAAUAAGCACCGGCUAACUUCGUG